RNAcentral lists this ribosomal RNA (445 nucleotides) under uncultured bacterium. Its description in RNAcentral is "partial 16S ribosomal RNA". It matches the Rfam family "Bacterial small subunit ribosomal RNA", at positions 354 to 796 of the family's 1533-position model. The record is from RNAcentral.
GUAGGGAAUAUUGGGCAAUGGAAGGAAUUCUGACCCAGCCAUGCCGCGUGCAGGAAUACAGUCCUAUGGACUUUAAACUGCUUUUAUUAUAGAGUAACCUGGGGGACGUGUCCCCCACUGCAAGUAUAUAAUGAAUAAGCAUCGGCUAACUCCGUGCCAGCAGCCGCGGUAAUACGGGGGAUGCAAGCGUUAUCCGGAUUUAUUGGGUUUAAAGGGUGCGCAGGCUGAUCGGUAAGUCAUGGGUGAAAAGUCACUGCUUAACGUGGAGGGAGCCUGGGAGACUGCUGUGCUAGAGGAUUGGAAGGGAGACUGGAAUUCUUGGAGUAGCAGUGAAAUGCGUAGAUAUCAAGAGGAACACCAGUGGCGAAGGCGAGUCUCUGGACAAGACCUGACGCUGAGGCACGAAGGCCAGGGGAUCAAACGGGAUUAGAUACCCGGGUAGUCC